GGCCUCUGCCUAUGCAGGCCCACAGGGCUUCCCUGGCUCCUCAAACCAUACUGAUUUAAUAGAGCUUAAUGUGGCCCAACUUUCAUGCCACUUCUGUAACCCUCUCUGAGGGGCUGAGGGUGAGGGCACAAAAAAACUUUUGAUCAGUGAAUCAGAUAUGGAGGUUUACUAAGUGCAUAGGAUAAUGCUAUUUUAUUACUUUGUUAAAAUAUUUAAUUAGUUAAUGCAUUCACAUGUAUUAAAGUUCAAAAGGGCAUUAAAAGGGACAUUUUCCUCUCACCUGUGUUCCCAGCCACCAGUACCCUAUUCCUAGAAGCAAAUACUGUUACUGGUUUUUCAUGUAUUUUCCUAUCACUAUGUUAUGGCAGACACUGUUGGUUGAACCCUAAAAUCCAUUCUGUUUUCUUUUUUUAGGGAUAGAGUCACCAAAGUUUGGCAACAUAUAAAGCCAUCCAUGAGAAAGACUACAUUUCCCUACCACUCUUGCAGGCUCCGGAUGCGCAGGCUCAGCGGCCAUGGCUCACGGGCCCAGCUGCUCCGCGGCAUGUAGGAUCUUCCCGGACCGGGGCACGAACCCACAUCCCCUGCAUCGGCAGGCAGACUCUCAACCACUGAGCCACCAGGGAAGCCCAUGAUCAGUGAUCUUUGAUGCUACUAUUGCAAAAAGAGUAUGACUUGCAGAAGGCUCAGAUGAUGCUUAGCAUUUUUUAGCAAUAUUUUUUAAUUAAGUAAUCUGAAGCUGAACCCACAAUAUCUCCAAGGAAUGGAUGUACGGACCUUAGUCCUGGCCAAUGGGAUGUGAGCAAAAGUGAUAUGUGCUUCUUCCAGGUCAUACCUUAAGGGAAAGAAGUAUGUUUAGCAUUUGACAAAAUUCAACAUCCUUUCAUGAUAAAAACUCAACAAAUUAAGUAUGGAAGGAUUAUUCCUCACCAUAAUAAAGACCAUAUAUGACAAGCCCAUAGCUAACAUCAUACUCAAUGGUGUAAAGUUAAAAGCCUCUCCUCUGAGAUCAGGAGCAAGACAAGGAUGCCCACCAUCACCAUUUCUAUUCAACAUAGUACUGCAAAUCUUAGUCAUAGCAAUUAGGCAAAAAAAAAAGAAAUAAAAGUCAUCCAAAUCAGAAAGAAAGAAGUAAAAGUAUCUCUGUUUGCAGAUGACAUGAUAUAGAAAACCCUGAAGACCACCAAAAAAACUGCUAAAACUGAUAAAUAAAUUCAGUAAAGUUGCAGGAUACAAGAUCAACAUACAGAAAUCAAUUGCAUUUCUAUACACUAACAACAAACUAUCUGAAAGAGAAAGAAAGCAAUCUAAGCUUUCUAAGUUAAUAGACAUCUAAGCUAAUAGACAUCUAUAGAACACUGCAUACAACAACUGCAGAAUACAUUCUUCUCAAGUGCCUAUGAAACAUUCUUCAGUAGAGACCAUAUGUUAGGCAAUCAGAUAAGUCUUAAAAAAUUAAAAGAAUUGAAAUCAUACAAAAAGUUUGUUCUCUGACCACAAUGGAAUGAAAUUAGAAAUCAUUACCAGAAGGAAAUUUGAGGAAUUCACAAUUAUGUGGAUAUUAAACAACAUACUCCUAAAUAACCAAGAGGUCAAAGAAGAAAUCACAAGGGAUAUUAGGAAAUAUUUUGAGAUUAAUGAAAACAAAAACACAGCAUACCAAAAUUUAUGCAACCAACACAGUGCGCAGAUGGAAAAUUAUAGCUGUAUACAUCUAUAUUUUAAAAAGAAAGAUUUCAAAUCAAUAACCUAACCUUACACCUCAAGACACUAGAAAAAGAAGAGCAAACCAAACCAGACACAAACAGAAGGAAGGAAAUAAUAAAGAUUAGUGCCAAAAUAAAUGAAAUAGAGAGUAGAAGAAAUAUAGAGAAGAAAUCAACAAAACCAAAAGUUGAUUCUUUGAAAGGAUCAACAAAAUUGACAAAUCUUUAGCUAGACUAGUAAAAAAGUAAAAGACUCAAGUUGUUAAAAUCAUUAAUAAAAGAAGGGCCAUUAUUUUAUUUUCAGAAAUAAAAUGAUUAUAGCAAAAAAAUAAAGCAAUCGCAUUUACAAUAGCAUCCCCAAAAAACAAAAUAUUUAGGAAUAAAUUGAACAAAGGAGGUGAAAGACCUGUACACUGAUAAGUAUAAGACAUUGAUGAAAGAGACUGAAGAAGACACAAAUAAGAAGAAGACACAAAUAAAUGGAAAGAUAUUCCAUAUUCCUGGAUUGGAAGAAUUAAUAUUGUGAAAAUGUCCAUCCUGCCCAAAGGAAUUUACAGAUUCAAUGCAAUCCCCAUCAAAUUUCCAAUGGCAUUUUUUAAGGAUAUAGGAAAAACUAUCCUAAAACCCCAAUUGGCAAAGCAAUCCUAAGAAAGAACAAAUCUGGAGGCAUCACACUUCUUGAUUUUGCACUAUAUUACAAAGCUAUAGUAAUCAAAAUAGUAUGGUACUGGCAUAAAACAGGCACAUAGACCAGUGGAACAGAAUAGACAACAGAUGACAUGAUAAUCUAUAUGGUUUUAAAAUAGAUAUCAAGUUGAGGAAGAUCCCCUCUUUUCCUGUUUACUGAGGAGUUUUAUUAUGAGUAGGUUUUGGAUUUUGUCAAAUGCUUUUUCUGCAUCUAUUGAUUUGAUCAUGUGGCUUUUUUCUUUAGCCUGUUGAUAAGAUAGGUUACAUGAAUUGAUUUUUUAAUGUUGAACCAGCCUUACAUACUAGGAUAAAUCCCACUUAAUUGUGGUGUAUAAUUCUUUUUAUAUAUUGUUGAAUUUGAUUUGCUAAUAUUGUGUUGAUUUUUGCAUCCACGUUCAUGAGAGCUAUUGGUCUGUAGUUUUCUUGUAAUGUCUUUGUCUGGUAUUGGUAUUAGGGUAAUGCUGGUAUCAUAGAAUGAGUUAGGAAGUAUUCACUCUGCGUCUGUCUUCUGAAAGAAAUUGUAGAAAAUUGGUAUAUUUUCUUAUUUAUUUAUUUAUUUAUUUA
Physeter macrocephalus (sperm whale) is the source of this 2957-nucleotide long non-coding RNA. RefSeq lists it as uncharacterized. NCBI's taxonomy places the organism in Eukaryota, Metazoa, Chordata, Mammalia, Artiodactyla, Physeteridae. The record is from RefSeq and is a predicted model, not a curated record. The transcript is spliced from 3 exons.